GACGAACGCUGGCGGCGUGCUUAACACAUGCAAGUCGAGCGGAAAGGCCCUGCUUUUGGGGGGUGCUCGAGGGGCGAACGGGUGAGUAGCACGUGAGUAACCUGCCCUUGAGGUUGGGAUAACUUAAUGAAACUGGGGCUAAUACCGGAUAGGAGCUCCUGCGGCAGGGUGGGGGUUGGAAAGUUUCGGCGGUUGGGGAUGGACUCGCGGCUUAUCAGCUUGUUGGUGGGGUAGUGGCUUACCAAGGCUUUGACGGGUAGCCGGCCUGAGAGGGUGACCGGCCACAUUGGGCCUGAGAUACGGCCCAGACUCCUACGGGAGGCAGCAGUGGGGAAUAUUGCACAAUGGGCGGAAGCCUGAUGCAGCAACGCCGCGUGCGGGAUGACGGCCUUCGGGUUGUAAACCGCUUUCGCCUGUGACGAAGCGUGAGUGACGGUAAUGGGUAAAGAAGCACCGGCUAACUACGUG
RNAcentral lists this ribosomal RNA (468 nucleotides) under uncultured bacterium. Its description in RNAcentral is "partial 16S ribosomal RNA". It matches the Rfam family "Bacterial small subunit ribosomal RNA", at positions 28 to 507 of the family's 1533-position model. The record is from RNAcentral.